This 233-nucleotide long non-coding RNA is filed under the name Priapulus caudatus. RNAcentral's name for it is "uncharacterized LOC106806010, transcript variant X1". Lineage: Eukaryota; Metazoa; Priapulida; Priapulimorpha; Priapulimorphida; Priapulidae. The record is from RNAcentral.
CUGAGCUGCGGUGUGUUCGUGCGAGGUUGCUGCUGAGCUGCGGUGUGUUCGUGCGAGGUUACUGCUGAGCUGCGGUGUGUUCGUGCGAGGUUACUGCUGAGCUGCGGUGUGUUCGUGCGAGGUUACUGCUGAGCUGCGGUGUGUUCGUGCGAGGUUACUGCUGAGCUGCGGUGUGUUCGUGCGAGGUUACUGCUGAGCUGCGGUGUGUUCGUGCGAGGUUACUGCUGAGCUGC